GGUUGUGAAACAGACGGCAAUCGAUCGUUCUAGGAAAGCAAAAUGCGAACUUGUUCGGAUACAUUUUUCGCUUUCGUGAAACCAUUUUUGUCGGUAAAACAAAGUGAUGGAAUGCCGUUGAUUAAACCGUAAUAAAUCAGCCUCGCAGAAAAUGAGACAAAUAUUGCGUAGUGAGCUUGUGGCGCCAAAAAUGCAAAAAUUAUUAAACGAAGAUAUCUGGAAUCGAAAAACGAAUAAUCCAAAAUCUUAACUCUCACUGCACGAAGACAGUGCUUACAUGAUGAAAAAAUGAUUAAGAGGAGCUGUAUGUUGUGAGCAUUAAGACAUAUAAAUACUCAAGGAAAAGGAAAAAGAAUGCGUAGUGUGUGUAUUUAAGUGAUAUUUGUGAAGAAACAAAGCUGAAGAGGAUCUAACAAAGUGAGAGUUAAUUUUGGUCUAAGUCUUAUGUUACUAAGUUUUAUUCAUUCAUUGUUUUGUUAGUGAUUAUAGUAGAUACAAGUGACAACUGAUGAUGGGAGUUCUUUCCCAAUCGAUCGUUUCAUGUAUGCAUACCGCAGGUGUCCACCUCCAACCGCCUUUAUUUGUGUUCCAAUCGGAGUGGACGGUUUAAGAAGGGUAAAUCACGUUUUAGGGAGAUCCUGGGCAUUGCUUCCUAAAUAACGCUAGUGUAAUAGGUUGUUAUUCACUAGGAUCGGAGAACUCGGAACACUUCUAUAUUUUCGAACUUUGUAGCUUGUUCCAGCUUCACCGAUAACUUUAUUGCGAAUAAUUUUACAUCACUCGUAACGCGCUUUUAUAUUAAUUUGAACAAAGGCCUGGUAGUACCGCGUAAUUGCGCGCAAGGUGACCGCUUGAUUAUGCUGCGCAAUUUGAUCCUUUCUUUUACCUUUACAUCUUAAUAAUAACCCUAUGCUACCUAAAUCAUAUCUCAAACUAACCUAAUUUAAAUCACCUAUCUGAUAAGAGUGUUGGCUGUUUUAUAAAUGUAAUAUUUAAAUCGAUAUUUAUGGAUAACUAG
Anopheles coustani is the source of this 1018-nucleotide long non-coding RNA. RefSeq lists it as uncharacterized. The record is from RefSeq and is a predicted model, not a curated record. The transcript has 5 exons. NCBI's taxonomy places the organism in Eukaryota, Metazoa, Arthropoda, Insecta, Diptera, Culicidae.